RNAcentral lists this ribosomal RNA (531 nucleotides) under Chaetomium sp. RNAcentral describes it as "eukaryotic LSU rRNA". The stretch from base 183 to 336 matches the Rfam family "5.8S ribosomal RNA". Lineage: Eukaryota; Fungi; Ascomycota; Sordariomycetes; Sordariales; Chaetomiaceae. The record is from RNAcentral.
UGGUGACCAGCGGAGGGAUCAUUACAGAGUUGCAAAACUCCCAAACCAUUGUGAACGUUACCAACCGUUGCUUCGGCGGGCGGGGCCUCGCGCCCCCCCCGGCCCUCGCGGGCGCCCGCCGGAGGUACCCAACUCUUGACUACCAUAUGGCCUCUCUGAGUCUUCUGUACUGAAUAAGUCAAAACUUUCAACAACGGAUCUCUUGGUUCUGGCAUCGAUGAAGAACGCAGCGAAAUGCGAUAAGUAAUGUGAAUUGCAGAAUUCAGUGAAUCAUCGAAUCUUUGAACGCACAUUGCGCCCGCCAGUAUUCUGGCGGGCAUGCCUGUUCGAGCGUCAUUUCAACCAUCAAGCCCACGGCUUGUGCUGGGGACCUGCGGCUGCCGCAGGCCCUGAAAACCAGUGGCGGGCUCGCUGUCACCCCGAGCGUAGUAGCAUACAUCUCGCUCUGGGCGUGCCGCGGGCGCCUGCCGUGAAACAAACACAACACAAGGUUGACCUCGGAUCAGGUAGGAAGACCCGCUGAACUUAAGC